UACGUAGGUGGCAAGCGUUAUCCGGAAUUAUUGGGCGUAAAGAGCGCGGAGGUGGUUGAUUAAGUCUGAUGUGAAAGCCCACGGCUUAACCGUGGAGGGUCAUUGGAAACUGGUCGACUUGAGUGCAGAAGAGGGAAGUGGAAUUCCAUGUGUAGCGGUGAAAUGCGUAGAGAUAUGGAGGAACACCAGUGGCGAAGGCGGCUUCCUGGUCUGUAACUGACACUGAGGCGCGAAAGCGUGGGGAGCAAACAGGAUUAGAUACCCCGGUA
RNAcentral lists this ribosomal RNA (269 nucleotides) under uncultured prokaryote. Its description in RNAcentral is "partial 16S ribosomal RNA". It matches the Rfam family "Bacterial small subunit ribosomal RNA", at positions 524 to 792 of the family's 1533-position model. The record is from RNAcentral.